GGUUAAGUUAGAAAGGGCGCACGGUGGAUGCCUUGGCACUAGGAGCCGAUGAAGGACGGGACGAACACCGAUAUGCUUCGGGGAGCUGUAAGCAAGCUUUGAUCCGGAGAUUUCCGAAUGGGGAAACCCACCACUCGUAAUGGAGUGGUAUCCAUAUCUGAAUACAUAGGAUAUGAGAAGGCAGACCCGGGGAACUGAAACAUCUAAGUACCCGGAGGAAGAGAAAGCAAAUGCGAUUCCCUGAGUAGCGGCGAGCGAAACGGGACCAGCCCAAACCAAGAGGCUUGCCUCUUGGGGUUGUAGGACACUCUGUACGGAGUUACAAAGGAACGAGGUAGAUGAAGAGGUCUGGAAAGGCCCGCCAUAGGAGGUAACAGCCCUGUAGUCAAAACUUCGUUCUCUCCUGAGUGGAUCCUGAGUACGGCGGAACACGUGAAAUUCCGUCGGAAUCCGGGAGGACCAUCUCCCAAGGCUAAAUACUCCCUAGUGACCGAUAGUGAACCAGUACCGUGAGGGAAAGGUGAAAAGCACCCCGGAAGGGGAGUGAAAGAGAUCCUGAAACCGUGUGCCUACAAGUAGUCAGAGCCCGUUAACGGGUGAUGGCGUGCCUUUUGUAGAAUGAACCGGCGAGUUACGAUCCCGUGCAA
This 647-nucleotide ribosomal RNA is filed under the name Bacillus amyloliquefaciens. Its description in RNAcentral is "partial 23S ribosomal RNA". It matches the Rfam family "Bacterial large subunit ribosomal RNA", at positions 1 to 643 of the family's 2925-position model. Lineage: Bacteria; Bacillati; Bacillota; Bacilli; Caryophanales; Bacillaceae. The record is from RNAcentral.